RNAcentral lists this long non-coding RNA (587 nucleotides) under Gallus gallus (chicken). RNAcentral describes it as "lncRNA (ENSGALG00010016628.1)". The record is from RNAcentral. Lineage: Eukaryota; Metazoa; Chordata; Aves; Galliformes; Phasianidae.
GUAUUUGUAGCUUCGCUAAGCCUGGAGCUGAGAGAGCUAAUGAUUGCCUCAACUUCUGGUAAAGUGCAGUUCUAAGGGCAUUUUCAGCCUUCACUUCUUCCUACCCUCCCUUUUAAAAGAUUUCAAAACCAAGCCUUUAAUUUUCAGCAAGACCUUUUCAUGUGACCUUUAGAACAUAGCAAGGGUUAUUUUAACAGUAAAUCAACACAAGGUAGCGGGGUCCUUGGGCUGAAUUCUGGGGAUGUGUUCUCACAGUGAGAGCUGAGGUAUCCAUCACAGCGAGGAUGUCACCACUGUCCCACACAUCUACCCGUAAGACUUCCCAGUGUUCUGGGGGGGUUGUAGCAGCUCGUGACAAAUGGGAAUGGGAAGCCCUCUUCACUUCUACAGUUGUGGCAUGGAGUACUUUUAUGACAAAGAUCAGGCUCAGAUGUCAGGAGAGAAUGCUUCUAGAAAAAUGAUCUGCCAGUGUGGUGCUUCUGCAGGAGAUCUGAAAUGGACUCUGUGGAGGUACAGAAAGGCUGCACUGCAGCGUAUCUCCUUCAUCGCAAAGAGUAUUCAGCCAGAACCUGAAGUCCAAAUUUUUU